This 604-nucleotide long non-coding RNA is filed under the name Gallus gallus (chicken). RNAcentral's name for it is "lncRNA (ENSGALG00010018256.1)". The record is from RNAcentral. Lineage: Eukaryota; Metazoa; Chordata; Aves; Galliformes; Phasianidae.
CAGUUUCUGACUGCCUGCAGACCUGUGUGUCCACGAAGCAGCGUGGCUCCUGGUGCUGGUGUGAGACAAGAGUUCAUCUUACAGAUGGUGGCCCAAGAACACAGCUAUAUGGCUGGAGUGCAGAUAAAUGCUCUAUAUGUUGGAAGGUGGUCAAAUCAGUGAGAAACUGGAGAAGGCCUUAAUCUUGGGCAGACAGAGCCACAGCCGUGCCUGCUUCUUUUCAAAGGACAAAGUGGAUCUGUGAGUAUCUAGCUCGUAAAUCAGGAGGUGAGGAGACAGCCCGGCUCCUCACAUGGAGCUCAACAGACGGACAGAGUCACAUUUCCAAUGGCAAACAGAGCACACUUCAUGUCCCUAUCAGUAGUCGUGGCCGAGCACCGACACGAGACCCCUUGAGUAGGAUUCAUUUCACAUGUCUGGUCACCCUGGGCUGCUUUUAUAAUCAGUCGUUCCUUUGAGGAUGCCGUUCAUUCUGUUCAGGAGCAGAUAUCCCAUGGCAAUCAAAUGGAUCACCCUGCUGGCCACCCACCAGGCCAGGAACUCAGCCUCAUGGCGGACGUGGCUGGGAACAGCUCCAUCUCCCAGCACAUUUGUGUAGAACAGG